This 492-nucleotide ribosomal RNA is filed under the name uncultured bacterium. RNAcentral's name for it is "partial 16S ribosomal RNA". It matches the Rfam family "Bacterial small subunit ribosomal RNA", at positions 29 to 507 of the family's 1533-position model. The record is from RNAcentral.
AGUGAACGCUGGCGGUAGGCCUAACACAUGCAAGUCGAACGGCAGCACAGUAAGAGCUUGCUCUUACGGGUGGCGAGUGGCGGACGGGUGAGGAAUACAUCGGAAUCUACUUUUUCGUGGGGGAUAACGUAGGGAAACUUACGCUAAUACCGCAUACGACCUACGGGUGAAAGCAGGGGAUCUUCGGACCUUGCGCGAUUGAAUGAGCCGAUGUCGGAUUAGUUAGUUGGCGGGGUAAAGGCCCACCAAGGCGACGAUCCGUAGCUGGUCUGAGAGGAUGUUCAGCCACACUGGAAGUGGACCACGGUCCAGACUCCUACGGGAGGCAGCAGUGGGGAAUAUUGGACAGUGGGCGCGAGCCUGAUCCAGCCAUGCCGCGUGGGUGGAGGAAGCCUUCGGGUUGUAAAGCCCUUUUGUUGGGAAAGAAAAGCUGCAGGUUAAUACCACGCUGUUAUGACGGUACCCAAAGAAUAAGCACCGGCUAACUUCGUG